RNAcentral lists this ribosomal RNA (451 nucleotides) under uncultured bacterium. Its description in RNAcentral is "partial 16S ribosomal RNA". It matches the Rfam family "Bacterial small subunit ribosomal RNA", at positions 28 to 523 of the family's 1533-position model. The record is from RNAcentral.
GAUGAACGCUGGCGGCAUGCCUAAUACAUGCAAGUCGAACGAGCUCUUCGGAGCUAGUGGCGGACGGGUGAGUAACACGUUGGUACCUACCCCGAAGUGGGGAAUAACUGCCCGAAAGGGUGGCUAAUACCGCAUAAUACCGUAAGGUUAAAGCAGUAAUGCGCUUCGGGAGGGGCCUGCGUCCCAUUAGCUAGUUGGCGGGGUAAAUGCCCACCAAGGCGACGAUGGGUAGCUGGAUCGAGAGGUUGACCAGCCACACUGGGACUGAGAUACGGACCAGACUCCUACGGGAGGCAGCAGUAAGGAAUCUUCCACAAUGGACGAAAGUCUGAUGGAGCAAUGCCGCGUGCAGGAUGACGGCCUUCGGGUUGUAAACUGCUUUUAUAUGGGAAGAUUAUGACGGUACCAUAUGAAUAAGUCACGGCUAACUUCGUGCCAGCCGCCGCUGUAA